CUUGGGACCGCCGGUCAGAGC
Molecule: microRNA, 21 nt
Filed under: Brachypodium distachyon (stiff brome)
Lineage: Eukaryota; Viridiplantae; Streptophyta; Magnoliopsida; Poales; Poaceae
Description: bdi-miR5178-5p
Source: miRBase by way of RNAcentral